This 468-nucleotide ribosomal RNA is filed under the name uncultured bacterium. RNAcentral describes it as "partial 16S ribosomal RNA". It matches the Rfam family "Bacterial small subunit ribosomal RNA", at positions 28 to 507 of the family's 1533-position model. The record is from RNAcentral.
GACGAACGCUGGCGGCGUGCUUAACACAUGCAAGUCGAACGGCAAGGCCCUGCUUUUGUGGGGUGCUCGAGUGGCGAACGGGUGAGUAACACGUGAGUAACCUGCCCUUGACUUUGGGAUAACUUCAGGAAACUGGGGCUAAUACCGGAUAGGAGCUCCUGCUGCAUGGUGGGGGUUGGAAAGUUUCGGCGGUCGGGGAUGGACUCGCGGCUUAUCAGCUUGUUGGUGGGGUAGUGGCUUACCAAGGGUUUGACGGGUAGCCGGCAUGAGAGCGUGACCGGCCACAAUGGGACUGAGAGACGGACCAGUCUCCAACGGUAGGCAGCAGUGGGGAAUAUUGCACAGUGGGCGGAAGCCUGAUGCAGCAACGCCGCGUGCGUGAUGACGGCCUUCGGGUUGUAAACCGCUUUCGCCUGUGACGAAGCGGGAGUGACGGUAAUGGGUAAAGAAGCACCGGCUAACUACGUG